GAUGAACGCUGGCGGCGUGCCUAAUACAUGCAAGUCGAGCGAACGGACGAGAAGCUUGCUUCUCUGAUGUUAGCGGCGGACGGGUGAGUAACACGUGGAUAACCUACCUAUAAGACUGGGAUAACUUCGGGAAACCGGAGCUAAUACCGGAUAAUAUUUUGAACCGCAUGGUUCAAAAGUGAAAGACGGUCUUGCUGUCACUUAUAGAUGGAUCCGCGCUGCAUUAGCUAGUUGGUAAGGUAACGGCUUACCGAGGCAACGAUGCAUAGCCGACCUGAGAGGGUGAUCGGACACACUAGAACUGAGACACGGUCCAGACUCCUACGGGAGGCAGCAGUAGGGAAUCUUCCGCAAUGGGCGAAAGCAUGACGGAGCAACGCCGCGUGAGUGAUGAAGGUCUUCGGAUCGUAAAACUCUGUUAUUAGGGAAGAACAUAUGUGUAAGUAACUGUGCACAUCUUGACGGUACCUAAUCAGAAAGCCACGGCUAACUACGUG
This 497-nucleotide ribosomal RNA is filed under the name uncultured bacterium. RNAcentral describes it as "partial 16S ribosomal RNA". It matches the Rfam family "Bacterial small subunit ribosomal RNA", at positions 28 to 507 of the family's 1533-position model. The record is from RNAcentral.